AUUGUUUCUCAGCCUUUUGGCUAAGAUCUAGUAUCUAUUCUCAUCAGUUUAAUGUCUGAUACGCCUCUGUCUGGAGACAUUAUAUUAAAUGUAUUUUUACAUUUAAUGGAGCAGGGAGAUGGAUAGAAGCUUGCUCCCUCCACUGUGCCCAUCAACCCAGUAUUGCAGUACUUCUGGGAAUGGAACACCAAGU
Molossus molossus (Pallas's mastiff bat) is the source of this 193-nucleotide small nuclear RNA. RefSeq annotates it as U2 spliceosomal RNA. The transcript has a single exon. The record is from RefSeq and is a predicted model, not a curated record. Lineage: Eukaryota; Metazoa; Chordata; Mammalia; Chiroptera; Molossidae.